CAAGAAAUAGUUUAAUUUAAAAUACUAAUUUUGGAGAUUAGAGAUAGAACUUAUCUUUUCUUGA
This 64-nucleotide transfer RNA is filed under the name Adelium sp. NCS-2009. RNAcentral's name for it is "tRNA-Pro". The record is from RNAcentral. Lineage: Eukaryota; Metazoa; Arthropoda; Insecta; Coleoptera; Tenebrionidae.